Ribosomal RNA from Lepisosteus oculatus (spotted gar), 119 nucleotides. The record is from Rfam. Lineage: Eukaryota; Metazoa; Chordata; Actinopteri; Semionotiformes; Lepisosteidae.
GCCAGCAGCAAUUUCACUCUGCAACUCACCACUGGCAAUUCACUAAAGCUAAGCAGGUGUGAGCCUGGUCGGUACCUGGAUGGGAGACCUCCUGGGAAAAACUAAGGUUGCUGCUGGAA